Molecule: ribosomal RNA, 939 nt
Filed under: uncultured bacterium
Lineage: Bacteria
Description: bacterial SSU rRNA
Rfam family: Bacterial small subunit ribosomal RNA
Source: RNAcentral
GGCAACCUGGCGGCGAGCGGCGAACGGGUGAGUAACAUAUCGGAACGUACCCAGUAAUGGGGGAUAACUACCCGAAAGGGUAGCUAAUACCGCAUACGCCCUGAGGGGGAAAGCGGGGGAUCGCAAGACCUCGCGUUAUUGGAGCGGCCGAUAUCGGAUUAGCUAGUUGGUGAGGUAAAGGCUCACCAAGGCGACGAUCCGUAGCUGGUCUGAGAGGACGACCAGCCACACUGGAACUGAGACACGGUCCAGACUCCUACGGGAGGCAGCAGUGGGGAAUUUUGGACAAUGGGGGCAACCCUGAUCCAGCCAUUCCGCGUGAGUGAAGAAGGCCUUCGGGUCGUAAAGCUCUUUCGGCAGGAACGAAACGGCGGGCUCUAACAUAGCCUGUCACUAACGGUACCUGAAGAAGAAGCACCGGCUAACUACGUGCCAGCAGCCGCGGUAAUACGUAGGGUGCGAGCGUUAAUCGGAAUUACUGGGCGUAAAGCGUGCGCAGGCGGUUUUGUAAGACAGAUGUGAAAUCCCCGGGCUUAACCUGGGAACUGCGUUUGUGACUGCAAGACUGGAGUGUGGCAGAGGGGGGUGGAAUUCCACGUGUAGCAGUGAAAUGCGUAGAGAUGUGGAGGAACACCGAUGGCGAAGGCAGCCCCCUGGGUCAACACUGACGCUCAUGCACGAAAGCGUGGGGAGCAAACAGGAUUAGAUACCCUGGUAGUCCACGCCCUAAACGAUGCGAACUAGGUGUUGGGGAAGGAGACUUUCUUAGUACCGCAGCUAACGCGUGAAGUUCGCCGCCUGGGGAGUACGGUCGCAAGAUUAAAACUCAAAGGAAUUGACGGGGACCCGCACAAGCGGUGGAUGAUGUGGAUUAAUUCGAUGCAACGCGAAAAACCUUACCUACCCUUGACAUGCCAGGAAGUCUGCUGAGAGGUGGAU